Astatotilapia calliptera (eastern happy) is the source of this 1146-nucleotide long non-coding RNA. The record is from Ensembl. NCBI's taxonomy places the organism in Eukaryota, Metazoa, Chordata, Actinopteri, Cichliformes, Cichlidae.
CGGACGGUAUCUUUGCUACAUGGCAGCUGUCGAGCUAGCGUUUGAAGAGAGAGUCUCCCUUCUCUAUUUACUGUGGAGAGCAGAGCAGCGGCGUUAAGGACGUCCUCGCCGUACCUGGGUCCAUCAGGUCCUCCAGACGCGUGAGCAGUUUGGUGAGUUUCACCACUUGCUCCAGGAGCUGCACCUGGAUGACGUUUAUUUCAGCGAUAUCUUCCCCUCGCCCAGUUUGAGGACCUGCUGUCCCGCGUUGGUCCAAGCAUCGCCCGCCUAGACACCAAUUACAGGCGCUCAAUCCUACCUGCAGAGCGCCUGUCCGUCUGCCUGAGGUUCCUUGCCACCGGGGACUCCUUCAGGUAGGGCUGUGCGAUAUGACCAAAAUCUCAUAUCCCGAUAUAAGACAUCUAUCGUCCGAUAACGAUAUAAAUCACAAAAAUGUAACAUUUUCUGUCAAUUCUGUGAAUCUCGGGCAGCUCGACUUGCGUGAAGUGUUUCCAGCUGCGCGUCGUGUAGCUGGAGUCGAGUGUUUUAACCGAUGCAUGAAACAAUACAUUUGAGACAUAAGUUGUAACGGCCGCCGUUUUCUUUGUAUUUAUUACACGGCGUGCUGCGGGGAAAAGCCUGUUCUAACGUUUGAGUCUAAGGUUUAUUUUUUAGCACCUGGCGGCUCUUUUUACUUCUCAUCCGUAAAUAAUCUGCUCUUUCAUGUGAUUCAGUUUAUUUUGAAAAGUCUCAACAGGAUCUUGAGCUUUAUUGUGAAAGGUUUAUGUGGAACAUAAACAAGCGGACACGCGAUGGUGUUACCGUUGUUGUUGCUAACCACAACGCACAAAAACAGGCCCUUGUCCGUCUGUAGUGCGGUUAUAUUAAAUAUAAGAGAAAGAGAGAACUUUAAGAAAUGAAUAUAACCACUACAGGGACCAUCAGAACCAUGAGAAAAUAUUGUCGUAAACAGUUUAUUUUGCAACAACACGAAACAAACGACAGCGUAAAAUGAAACGAUAGACGUUUUUAUAUCGUCAUCCGAUAUAUAUCGUUAUAUCAAACAGCCCUACCUUCAGGACCAUCGCAUUCAGUUUUCGAGUUGGUGUGUCCACGGUGAGCCAGAUCAUCUCCCAGGUAGCGACGGCCAUCUGGGACUGUCUAGUG